GGUCAAAUAGGCCGAGCGGGUCGUACGGAACCUGCGCGUGUCGGAAGUGCCCGGUCCUCCAUCAAAGUCAAAGGGCGCAAGGCUGGCGCCCUUGGGCAAAACGCGCUCGAUCGUGUCAUCCUGCUGGGCCGGCCUUUUGUAGACGCCCCAUGCGCCAAAUGUCUUUGUGGUGCGAGCGCGGCCGCAUGUAGGGUGGUAGGCGUGGACUUUGAUCGUGACGGCGCGCGGCUCGACGUCCAGUGCGCCGUCGGGCGACUUUGCGCCCCAAGGCCACGCACCGAGGACUUCGCCCUCGGGGGCACACGACACCGUCACCACCAGCGACGGGUCAUUGUCAUAGUUUGUAAAAUCGAUGGCGGCGGCAAAGACGAGGCCCUGCCACGCGACGGUCGAAGCGCCGCCGGUGCCGUCCAGAUUGUCCACGCCGAUGCGUAGGGCGCGCCAACGAUGCCCGUCCUCGUCGACAACGAGACCGCCCACGACAGUUUCGGGUCUAUAGUAGGCCGCCGGCAUCAAGUCGGAAUGCUCGGCGGCAAUGACAUCGCGGUCCGCCUCAGCGAGCACACCCACUGUGCGCUCUGCGAGCGCGACCUUGAGUUUGUGGUCGAUGUCGCUCCCGAGCAGAUGGCGCACAAAGGCGCCGAGUUGGGCGAGCGGGUCUGACCCGCGACCCUUGGCGACGCAGUCAAAGAGCCGGACGAGAGCGGCUUCGACAAGGCCCUCUGUGUAGUGGGCGGGCAUUCCCAAAAAGAGCGACGCCUGGACGACGUCGACGGGGUCAUCGCACCUGUCAAUGCCGCCGAGACGAUGCGGCGCGUACAUGCACUCGACGAGAAAGGCCAGGCUAUCGGCCGCAAAGGGGACGUCGAUCGUAUAAACCGCAAAGAGGACGCGCUUGCCGUCGGGGCUCUUUUGUUCGACGCGGUCCGGGUCGGCAUGCUCGAAAAGUGCAGCGAAAUAGGUUGCGCCAGCCAACACCGCCCGAUGGGCCUCGAUGCGUACAGGUUCACUGCCCGACGUCGAUGACCGCAGUUGAAUAGCGCAGUCGCAAUAAACACGACGCAGGCUUCCUAGCGUCGCAGGCUGGUGCACAUCGUGAUAGUGCACGGCGUCGUCAAAGCCAUCGUCG
This 1129-nucleotide long non-coding RNA is filed under the name Pandoravirus salinus. RNAcentral's name for it is "putative ncRNA". The record is from RNAcentral.